GACACAUUUCAAACCACCCUGCCAGCAGCAUACCACCCUGCAUCCCACUGCGGGCUUGCCUCUGAAGCUAAGCAGGGUUGGUCCUGGUCGGUCACUGGAUGGGAGACCAGAUGAUUCUGGAAGUGGUGUUG
This is a ribosomal RNA of Hucho hucho (huchen), 131 nucleotides long. NCBI's taxonomy places the organism in Eukaryota, Metazoa, Chordata, Actinopteri, Salmoniformes, Salmonidae. The record is from Ensembl.